RNAcentral lists this ribosomal RNA (639 nucleotides) under uncultured bacterium. RNAcentral describes it as "bacterial SSU rRNA". The stretch from base 1 to 542 matches the Rfam family "Bacterial small subunit ribosomal RNA", at positions 338 to 873 of the family's 1533-position model. The record is from RNAcentral.
CCUACGGGAGGCAGCAGUGGGGAAUUUUGGACAAUGGGGGCAACCCUGAUCCAGCCAUGCCGCGUGAGUGAAGAAGGCCUUCGGGUUGUAAAGCUCUUUCGGCCGGAACGAAAUCGCGCACGUGAAUAACGUGCGUGGAUGACGGUACCGGAGUAAGAAGCACCGGCUAACUACGUGCCAGCAGCCGCGGUAAUACGUAGGGUGCGAGCGUUAAUCGGAAUUACUGGGCGUAAAGCGUGCGCAGGCGGUUCGCUAAGUCAGACGUGAAAGCCCCGGGCUUAACCUGGGAACGGCGUUUGAAACUGGCGGGCUCGAGUACGGCAGAGGGGGGUGGAAUUCCACGUGUAGCAGUGAAAUGCGUAGAUAUGUGGAGGAACACCGAUGGCGAAGGCAGCCCCCUGGGCCGAUACUGACGCUCAUGCACGAAAGCGUGGGGAGCAAACAGGAUUAGAUACCCUGGUAGUCCACGCCCUAAACUAUGUCAACUAGUUGUCGGGGAAGCAAUUCCUUGGUAACGCAGCUAACGCGUGAAGUUGACCGCCGCGGGAGGUACGGUCGCGAAGAAGUUAAAACGUAACUAAAUAGUAAGUUAGUUACGGUCGUUGAGACGUUGCCGACGGACGACGACGAGGGAGGAGG